Molecule: ribosomal RNA, 605 nt
Filed under: Russula cerolens
Lineage: Eukaryota; Fungi; Basidiomycota; Agaricomycetes; Russulales; Russulaceae
Also listed under: 1 other name
Description: partial 28S ribosomal RNA
Rfam family: Eukaryotic large subunit ribosomal RNA
Source: RNAcentral
UUGACCUCAAAUCGGGUGAGACUACCCGCUGAACUUAAGCAUAUCAAUAAGCGGAGGAAAAGAAACUAACAAGGAUUCCCCUAGUAACUGCGAGUGAAGCGGGAAAAGCUCAAAUUUAAAAUCUGGUGGUCUUUGGCCAUCCGAGUUGUAAUUUAGAGAAGCGUCUUCCGCGCUGGACCAUGCACAAGUCUCCUGGAAUGGAGCGUCAUAGAGGGUGAGAAUCCCGUCUUUGGCAUGGACCCCAGGGCUUCUGUGAUGCGCUCUCAAAGAGUCGAGUUGUUUGGGAAUGCAGCUCAAAAUGGGUGGUGAACUCCAUCUAAAGCUAAAUAUUGGCGAGAGACCGAUAGCGAACAAGUACCGUGAGGGAAAGAUGAAAAGCACUUUGGAAAGAGAGUGAAACAGUACGUGAAAUUGUUGAAAGGGAAACGCUUGAAGUCAGUCGCGUCGACCGAGACUCAGCCUUGCCUCGGCUUGGUGUACUUCUCGGCUGACGGGUCAGCAUCAAUUUCGAUCCUUGGAUAAUGGCAAGGGAAAGGUAGCACCUUUACAGGUGUGUUAUAGUCCUCUGUCGAAUGCAAGGGUUGGGAUUGAGGAACUCAGCAUGC